Dermochelys coriacea (leatherback sea turtle) is the source of this 2234-nucleotide RNA transcript. It is a transcript of the gene named zinc finger DHHC-type containing 24, with no coding region annotated. The transcript is spliced from 5 exons. Lineage: Eukaryota; Metazoa; Chordata; Testudines; Dermochelyidae. The record is from RefSeq and is a predicted model, not a curated record.
CGAUUGGCUGGGGGCGCGGCCGCGCCGAGCUGGCGGCGGAAGAGGCGGAGGCGGGCGGAGGGGCGAGGGGAGAAGAGGCCUCGCAAGAGCCCGGGCCGGGGCAGAGACCCUGGGGAGGGAACCAGGCCCCGGAGAGAAGCCCCCUCCCCUGAGGCCAGGGUGGUGGCCAGCACCCCCGUCCCCCUCGCGGGGAGCGCCCCGGGCAGCCAUGCAGGCGGGCUGGGGCGGGUGGUGGCAGCGCCUGGAUGCCGCGCUGUGCCUGCCCCUGUGUGUGACCGUGGCGCUGAUGGGGGCCGUGUGCACAGAGGUGCUGUGCCGGCUUCUCGGGGCUGCGGAGCCCACCCAGCUGCCCCUGGCCCUGCACCUGACCCUCCUGCUCUUCCUGCUGGCCAACGUGCUGGGCAAUAUGGGCCUCUUCAUCACCACCAGCCCAAGCAUCACAGGGGUCAUGCUGUCCGGAGGCGCCGUGGGACAGGGCUGGGAGUACUGCUACACCUGCCAGUCCCACGUGCCCCCCCGCUGUCACCACUGCUACACCUGCAACGUGUGCAUGCUGCGCCGGGACCACCACUGUGUGCUGCUGGGCCAGUGUGUGGGCUACCAUAACUACCGUUACUUCCUUUGCCUCCUGCUGCACGGCUGGGUGGCCCUGCUCUACGCCAGCCUGCUCAAUGCUGACAUCUUCGUGGCCCUGCUGCAUGAGGGAGUCACCCUGCACAGCAUCGUCCUCCUCCUCAUGCCGUGGCUCAUGCUGCUGAUGGGCCAGGUGAGCACCUUGACCUUCAUCUAUGCUUUCGUGGCGGACACCUGCGUGGUCAGUUUCCUCUUCUGCUCCGGCUUCCUCUUCUUACACGUGCUGCUGAGCCUGCGUGGCCAGACGAUCAGGGAGUGGUUUGGGGAGAGCCGCUGCUAUGACCUGGGCUGGCGCCGCAACCUGCAGGAGGCAUUGGGGGACAGGUGGCACCUUGUCUGGCUGUGCCCGCUCCUGGCCUCCCCACUUCCUGGGGAUGGCGUGGCCUUUGAGAGCAGAGCUCCCCGCACUGAGCCUUCCACCAAGCCAGUUGUUUUCUGAAGGGUUACUGGCCUAGUGGAUAAAGGGAAAGCAGUGAACAUGAUGUCUGGACUUUAGUAAAGCUUUUGACACAGUCCCACAGGACAUUCUGAUAAGUAAAUGAGGGAAACGUCAUCUAGAUGAAAUUGCUAUAAGGUGGCUGCACAACUGGUUGAAAGAUCGUCCUCAAAGAGUAGUUAUCAAUGGUUUGCUGUCAAACUGGGAGGAUGUAUCCACUGGGGUCCUGCAGGGGUCUGUCCUGAAUCCAGUAUGAUUCAGUAGUUUCACUAAUGCCUUGGAUGAUGGAGUGAAGAGUAUGCUUAUAAAAUUUGCAGAUGAUGCCCAGCUGGGCAGGGCUACCAGCUUUUUGGUGCACAGAAUUAGAAUGAAAAAUGACAGUGAUAAACUAGAAAACUUAUCUGAAAUCAGCAAGGUCUCCUUCCGGAUGGUGCUGCAGUACUGCAGUGGGGCUGGCACUGGCUUUGCCUCUCCCCAGAGCGGGAGCGCUGCUGAGGGGCAAAUGUCAAGCUGUGUCCACUGCUCUGCCCCAUGGGUUACUCGCACCCCCAUCUGACCUGGGUCCUGACACUGCCCAGGGGGUGAUCCUAUGCUGCGUCUGAGCCAUGUCUGCACUGUACUCUGCAGUUGUUGUGACUGUUGCACCAGGCACUGGACAGAUUCCAACCAAGAUUGGGGGGUCCUGUUGCUCUGGGCAUAGUGCAGCCUGUGAGCAAGAUCAGAGACCCCUGUUGUUUCAGGUGCAGCUCGAACACAGAAUGAGAAACAGUCCCUGUCCUGAAGACCUCACAGUCUUAACAGACCCAAGGUGGGAGGGUAAACAGGCACCCAGAGGAAAAGGGACUACCCAGCUUAGGGAAUAGAGCCCAGGAGUCUUGGCUCCCAGUCCAGCGCCCUCCUGACUGCACUAACCUUUUGUGGAUCCCAGUUCUCUCCUUUUAAAGCACUAGCAGCACAAGACUGCCGUUCUGCAAGCCCAGAGCUAAAACUGCUUGUCUUCUGUGUUUGCACAGUUCUCCCAUGGCCCAGCCCGGCCCAGCAGGAUAGUGCACCCCCAGAGGCUGGAGUCCUUGCCUUACCAGCCCCUCUCCCAGGUGGGGGCUUUCCUCUGGCACCCUGUCCCCACUGCUUUCCAAUAAAGCUCCAAACCCCAGGUGCACAGUGA